RNAcentral lists this ribosomal RNA (403 nucleotides) under uncultured bacterium. Its description in RNAcentral is "partial 16S ribosomal RNA". It matches the Rfam family "Bacterial small subunit ribosomal RNA", at positions 28 to 526 of the family's 1533-position model. The record is from RNAcentral.
GACGAACGCUGGCGGCGUGCCUAAUACAUGCAAGUCGAACGCAGUGGGGACGGGUGAGUAACACGUGGGUAACCUCCCAUCAGAGGGGAUAACACUUGGAAACAGGUGCUAAACCGAUACUGAUGGAUGGACCCGCGGUGCAUUAGCUAGUUGGUGAGGUAAAGGCGAACCAAGGCAACGAUGCAUAGCCGGCCUGAGAGGGUGAUCGGCCACACUGGGACUGAGACACGGCCCAGACUCCUACGGGAGGCAGCAGUAGGGAAUCGUGGGCAAGGGACGAAAGUCUGACCGAGCAACGCCGCGUGUAUGAAGAAGGUUUUCGGAUUGUAAAACUCUGUUGUUAGAGAAGCGGUAUCUAACGAAAAAGCCACGGCUAACUACGUGCCAGCAGCCGCGGUAAUUC